AAUGAAUGAAUGGGGUGUCUAAUGAAAGC
RNAcentral lists this non-coding RNA (29 nucleotides) under Mus musculus (house mouse). The record is from RNAcentral. Lineage: Eukaryota; Metazoa; Chordata; Mammalia; Rodentia; Muridae.